GGGCCCGCACAAGCGGUGGAGCAUGUGGUUUAAUUCGACGCAACGCGAAGAACCUUACCAGCUCUUGACAUUGCUAAGUCGCGAGUUUUAGAGAUAAAACUCUUCAGUUCGGCUGGACUUAGUACAGGUGCUGCAUGGCUGUCGUCAGCUCGUGUCGUGAGAUGUUGGGUUAAGUCCCGCAACGAGCGCAACCCUUGUCCUUAGUUGCCAGCAAUUCGGUUGGGCACUCUAGGGAGACUGCCGGUGAUAAACCGGAGGAAGGCGGGGAUGACGUCAAGUCCUCAUGGCCCUUACGGGCUGGGCUACACACGUGCUACAAUGGCGUCUACAAUGGGUCGCAAUAGGGCAACCUAAAGCUAAUCUCCAAAAGUUACCUCAGUUCGGAUUGUACUCUGCAACUCGAGUACAUGAAGUUGGAAUCGCUAGUAAUCG
RNAcentral lists this ribosomal RNA (432 nucleotides) under uncultured bacterium. Its description in RNAcentral is "bacterial SSU rRNA". It matches the Rfam family "Bacterial small subunit ribosomal RNA", at positions 917 to 1344 of the family's 1533-position model. The record is from RNAcentral.